RNAcentral lists this transfer RNA (109 nucleotides) under Pseudozyma flocculosa. It matches the Rfam family "tRNA". Rfam says of the family: Transfer RNA (tRNA) molecules are approximately 80 nucleotides in length. Their secondary structure includes four short double-helical elements and three loops (D, anti-codon, and T loops). RNAcentral also lists the same sequence under 1 other name. The record is from Rfam by way of RNAcentral. Lineage: Eukaryota; Fungi; Basidiomycota; Ustilaginomycetes; Ustilaginales; Ustilaginaceae.
GGCAAGAUGGCCGAGUGGUUAAGGCGCAGCGUUCAGGCUUGUCUGAUGUCAAGAGUUCAUUUGAGUUCACCGCUGUCUUCGGGCGUGGGUUCGAAUCCCACUCUUGUCA